This 118-nucleotide ribosomal RNA is filed under the name Funneliformis caledonium. RNAcentral's name for it is "partial large subunit ribosomal RNA". The record is from RNAcentral. Lineage: Eukaryota; Fungi; Glomeromycota; Glomeromycetes; Glomerales; Glomeraceae.
AGAACUUUGAAAAGAGAGUUAAACAGUACGUGAAAUUGUUGAAAGGGAAACGAUUGAAGUCAGUCAUACCAACGGGAAAUCAACCUCUUGAGUUUGGUCUUGUGGGUUUCGAAGAGUU